This 374-nucleotide ribosomal RNA is filed under the name uncultured organism. RNAcentral describes it as "partial 16S ribosomal RNA". It matches the Rfam family "Bacterial small subunit ribosomal RNA", at positions 527 to 896 of the family's 1533-position model. The record is from RNAcentral.
GGAGGGUGCAAGCGUUAUUCGGAAUCACUGGGCGUAAAGAGCGCGUAGGCGGUUUCUAAAGUCAGAUGUGAAAGCCCGGGGCUCAACCCCGGAAGUGCAUUUGAAACUUAGGGACUUGAGUAUGGGAGAGGGAAGUGGAAUUCCUGGUGUAGCGGUGAAAUGCGUAGAUAUCAGGAGGAACACCGGUGGCGAAGGCGACUUCCUGGACCAAUACUGACGCUGAGGCGCGAAGGCGUGGGGAGCAAACAGGAUUAGAUACCCUGGUAGUCCACGCAGUAAACGUUGAACACUAGGUGUAGCGGGUAUUGACCCCCCUGCUGUGCCGCAGCUAACGCAUUAAGUGUUCCGCCUGGGGGAGUACGGCCGCAAGGCUA